This 253-nucleotide ribosomal RNA is filed under the name uncultured bacterium. RNAcentral's name for it is "partial 16S ribosomal RNA". It matches the Rfam family "Bacterial small subunit ribosomal RNA", at positions 524 to 776 of the family's 1533-position model. The record is from RNAcentral.
UACGAAGGGGGCUAGCGUUGCUCGGAAUCACUGGGCGUAAAGGGUGCGUAGGCGGGUCUUUAAGUCAGGGGUGAAAUCCUGGAGCUCAACUCCAGAACUGCCUUUGAUACUGAAGAUCUUGAGUCCGGGAGAGGUGAGUGGAACUGCGAGUGUAGAGGUGAAAUUCGUAGAUAUUCGCAAGAACACCAGUGGCGAAGGCGACUCACUGGACACGUAUUGACGCUGAGGUGCGAAAGCGUGGGGAGCAAACAGG